RNAcentral lists this ribosomal RNA (462 nucleotides) under uncultured Glomus. Its description in RNAcentral is "SSU rRNA". It matches the Rfam family "Eukaryotic small subunit ribosomal RNA", at positions 569 to 1036 of the family's 1831-position model. Lineage: Eukaryota; Fungi; Glomeromycota; Glomeromycetes; Glomerales; Glomeraceae. The record is from RNAcentral.
AGCAGCCGCGGUAAUUCCAGCUCCAAUAGCGUAUAUUAAAGUUGUUGCAGUUAAAAAGCUCGUAGUUGAAUUUCGGGGUCAGUAGGCUGGUCGUGCCACAGGUACGCACUGGUCUCACUGAUUCCUCCUUCCUGAUGAACCGUAAUGCCAUUAAUUUGGUGUUGCGGGGAGACUGGACUGUUACUUUGAAAAAUUAGAGUGUUUAAAGCAGGCUAACGCUUGAAUACAUUAGCAUGGAAUAAUGAAAUAGGACGUUCGGUCUUAUUUUGUUGGUUUCUAAGAUUGACGUAAUGAUUAAUAGGGAUAGUUGGGGGCAUUAGUAUUCAAUUGUCAGAGGUGAAAUUCUUGGAUUUAUUGAAGACUAACUACUGCGAAAGCAUUUGCCAAGGAUGUUUUCAUUAAUCAAGAACGAAAGUUAGGGGAUCGAAGACGAUCAGAUACCGUCGUAGUCUUAACCAUAAA